Molecule: ribosomal RNA, 872 nt
Filed under: Neoascochyta graminicola
Lineage: Eukaryota; Fungi; Ascomycota; Dothideomycetes; Pleosporales; Didymellaceae
Description: LSU rRNA
Rfam family: Eukaryotic large subunit ribosomal RNA
Source: RNAcentral
UUGCCUAGUAACGGCGAGUGAAGCGGCAACAGCUCAAAUUUGAAAUCUGGCGUCUUUGGCGUCCGAGUUGUAAUUUGCAGAGGGCGCUUUGGCGUUGGCAGCAGUCUAAGUUCCUUGGAACAGGACGUCACAGAGGGUGAGAAUCCCGUACGUGGUUGCUGGCCUUCGCCGUGUAAAGCCCCUUCGACGAGUCGAGUUGUUUGGGAAUGCAGCUCUAAAUGGGAGGUAAAUUUCUUCUAAAGCUAAAUACUGGCCAGAGACCGAUAGCGCACAAGUAGAGUGAUCGAAAGAUGAAAAGCACUUUGGAAAGAGAGUCAAACAGCACGUGAAAUUGUUAAAAGGGAAGCGCUUGCAGCCAGACUUGCCUGUAGUUGCUCAUCCGGACUUUUGUCCGGUGCACUCUUCUAUAGGCAGGCCAGCAUCAGUUUGGGCGGUUGGAUAAAGGUCUCUGUCAUGUACCUCUCUUCGGGGAGAACUUAUAGGGGAGACGACAUGCAACCAGCCUGGACUGAGGUCCGCGCAUUUGCUAGGAUGCUGGCGUAAUGGCUGUAAGCGGCCCGUCUUGAAACACGGACCAAGGAGUCUAACAUCUAUGCGAGUGUUUGGGUGUCAAGCCCGAACGCGUAAUGAAAGUGAACGGAGGUGGGAACCCCCUCGGGGUGCACCAUCGACCGAUCCUGAUGUCUUCGGAUGGAUUUGAGUAAGAGCAUAGCUGUUGGGACCCGAAAGAUGGUGAACUAUGCUUGAAUAGGGUGAAGCCAGAGGAAACUCUGGUGGAGGCUCGCAGCGGUUCUGACGUGCAAAUCGAUCGUCAAAUUUGGGCAUAGGGGCGAAAGACUAAUCGAACUAUCUAGUAGCUGGUUCCUGCCGAA